RNAcentral lists this long non-coding RNA (1072 nucleotides) under Canis lupus familiaris (dog). RNAcentral describes it as "lncRNA (ENSCAFG00000050287.1)". Lineage: Eukaryota; Metazoa; Chordata; Mammalia; Carnivora; Canidae. The record is from RNAcentral.
ACUGUCUCGAAGCUCUGAAACUGAAAACUUCACCUAAGUUUGAGGCAAACUCAUUCAGUGGUAAAAACUAUCUGAAUUGGUACAAGACUAUUUUUAACCUUUAUUAAUCUCAUAUAAUGUUAACAUUCAUACAUUUUGCUACAGAGAUAUUAAUGUAUUUGAUAAUAGAGUAUUGCUCCAGACUCUGUUGAACGGUGUUAUGUAAUAUAUAGUAUAUGUACUCUAUUACUUUUCUAAAAUUCAAGAAGUUCUAAUUUCCAGAAUGCAUUUGACCCAAAGGUUUCAGAUGAUGAAAUGUGACCCCAAUAAUUUUGAGUGUAGAGGGAUACAGUGGGAUGUUCCAAUUACCCUUACCAUUCACAUAUUUUUUCAUACCAAGCUUUUUCCAAAUGUCUGUUUUUAUAAAAUAUGCGUGGGGUAUAAUUCUGUUUUUAUCUUUUUCAAAAAGCGUUCACACUUUUAAAGUAGCUCAAACAGAAAGCUUCAAACUACUUUUGAUUGACCUGCUACUCAAACUACUAACUUCUCCCUUUUUACAAACUGAAAAUAACAAAAAAUUGACUAGACAGUCUAAGAUAUUAUAUGGCUUGGUAAUUUGGGAAAUGAGGCUUCAAAUUCUUUUCCUGCUAGGUCUACGGAUGCUUUCCUGCUACACUGGCAGAGUUGUGUAAUUAUGGAAGAGACCACAUGAUCUCCAAAGCCUAAAAUAUUUUCUAUCUGGCCUCCUUUCCGGCAAGUCUGCUAACCCCUGCUCACUGUUCAGCCGAGGUUGCUACUAAUAUCUAUGACUAUCUGAUAGCUAUGAUUUUACAAAAUGAAGGUGGUUUGUCUGCAUUCAGGGCUUACAUUAUGUAUAGAUAACUUUUAAAAGGCAAAGAUGAUAGCUGCCACAGACUGACAUUCCCCCCUUUUUAAAGUUAAUUAAUUAUUAACAUCAUUUCUGCACCCAAUGUGGGGCUUGAACUCGUGACCCUGAGAUCAAGAGUCAUGUGCUCUACCGACUAAGCCAGCCAGGUGCCCCAUUCCCUUUCUGUUUGAAUGUGGUCUCAACUGGUCAAAAUUUUAGAUUCUU